GUGAGAUGCUCAUUUAAAAGCAAACGCCACAAUUCUAACUUCAUUCUGCACCUGACCGCAGGAUCAGGAUCUCUUGAAAAGUGGAACUCUUCAACUGUGAAACUAAGUGCUGAAUUGUUGAACAGGGAAACCCCCAAAUAAUUAAAACAACCUUUGAACUGUGGAAAUCUUCAGGAACCAGCUGUUGAAGUGUCGAAAAUAUGGCCUCUGCUGGGUUACGCCGUGAGAAAUACCUGCUGACCUUAGGCAUCGUCCGUGUUCUGGAUGAACGCUAUGUUGUGCUGCCGAGGCCAGGACCAGUCCUUCAAAUGAUUCUUACAAACCUGAGGAACCGUCCUCUGAGCAGCACAAACAUGGACUCUAUGUGCAAGUCCAUCCUCAGCCUGUACCACAGCCUCGUCACAGGUUCCAAGGACUUCCCUUUGAUUUCAUUCAAAGGAUUCUUCCGCUCACUCCAGACGACCACACCCUUUGUCCGUACCAAGCAGAGCAGAAGGGAGAACACCACACCGUCUCCUUUUACGGGUGCACCAGCAGGUAUGAUAGUGCGUACUGCAACCUCGAGCUCUUCUCCUCCAAAUAUGCUGACUCCAGUUCUUCCUGAGAAGACAGAGCUGGGAGCCCUAAAGGCCGACCGCAGAAACAGUGUCCGCAACAUGGAGUUUGACGGCAGUACUGUCACCAGAGUCAUCUCCACUGUGUACCGCUCUGAAAGCACUGAGCUGACCAACCGCUGGAGAGUGACCGACUACGGUGCAAACGGACACGUUCUCAUGUCGGUCCUCUGUCAGUUUACCAAAAAGUCGGCACAGUAUGCGGUGACUCCCAGGCAGGAGAAGAGGAAGGAUACAGAGGAAGAGUGCAGCAGCCAGUCUCCAUCAAAGAAACGCUUGAGACUGUGAUGGUCAUUUGCUCUGCUGCAGCUUUUGGCCUGUCCCUUAUGGAUUCAGCACCUGGCAGACCAGUCAGCGCUGGACAGAGAGGAAAACACUUGGGUGUUUUUUAAGCAUGGGAUGCCAAGAUUUCACCUUUAAAGGAAGUGAAAGACUUUGCUUCGAAACAUCACCAUGAGUUAACAAAUUGAGAAAGGAGACAAGAUAAGAAGAGACAAGAGAAAGGAGACGAGAUGAGGAGAGAAAAGAGAAAGGAGACACCAUGCACUACAAAUUCUCUCAUUAGAAAUGAUAACUAUACAUUUAUUUUAUCUUAUGUAUUUCUUCUGUUCUUCUAAAGUUAUUAACUGCAUUUCACGCUCAAUUUGUCUUUUAGAAAAAAAGAGGAGUCCAGAUGAGACAAGGAAAGAAGACAGCAUACAUUGUGAACCCUCUCAUUUAAAAAAGAUUAAAGAGAGGAGAGGAAACAACAUGAGAAAGGAACAAGAAAAUGACCAGGCGAGACAAGAGGCGAGGAGACAGGACAGUAGAGGAGAGAAGAGAGGAAACAGCAUGCACUCUAAUAAACACAUUUGUCAUGUUUGGUAGUUACAUUGCAGCAUGGACAAGUUAAGAUUGAGUAAUGUCCAAUGCCGACACAUGCCGACUCAAGUGAGGAAGUUUAUGUGUGGAUUCCACACUCAGAAGGCUCCAGAGCCUCAGACAGAUGCUCAAGCUUCAGUGCCUGUCCUCAGUCCCAUAGCAGUGUGUGCCACUGUGUCAACUGCUGACUCCAGGACAGAGACACUUGAAGCUUCAACAACUCAGCUGCCCUGUUUGUGGUCAGAGGGCUUGCCACCUGAAGACCACAAAUGGAUUGUGAAGACCCUAUGGGGCCCAAGGGAAAACUAGAUCUUCAAGACAACCUGAAACUCUGAAUUAUGCAAAACAUUCUUACUGAUAUAUCUGUCUAUGACCAUGGUACGCGUGACAUCCGGGUGAUCCGGCUUCUGCGGGAGAGAGGCCUGGGUAACAGCCCAACAUGCAUUUUAAAGCAGCUGAGGGAGAACUACACAGAGGAGUGGCUACAUCACGUAGCAAGCUGCGGAUGGCCGCCCACCAUUGAGUCUGGUUCUGUCCAUAGUUUCUGACUCUGCCAAGUGGCUCCUCUCUGUUUAGCCAGGACAUUUUAACAAGGCUGGAAGAUAUCAAGGCCACAAUAACAUCGACCUAUGGCACCAUUCUAAAAAUGGAUUCGCCAAAAAGAUCACCAAGAAGCUUGCCGGAACAGCCAAGGGGACAGCACUCUGGCUUACCUCUGUGGAAAAUGAGUAUGGUCAGAUUCUCAUCAGUGUGCUGAUCGCUCACGAGGGAGCUGGCCUGGACAUGAUGGCAGCAGACCUGGUAAAAAGAUACCAGCAGGCCGGUGUGGAUCCCCCUGUUGCCUUAUAUGUGGACUGUGGCUGCUGUACUGAGGCAGGGGAGACCAAGCUGAAGGCCAGAUUCAGCAGGUGGCUACACCUCACUAUCAGGCUGGACAUGUGGCACUUCAGACUUGGCUUGCAACAGAUGCUCAUCAGCUGUACCCAAUAUUUAUGUCACGCCUAUCAGCGUGCAUAUUGAGUGGGAUGCAGCUGAUUUAGCUCUGUUGCGCGAAGCAAAAAACAGCAACUUCAAUUCCAGGACCUGUCUUCACUUACUAAUGGCGACUUCAAUAAACAUCUAUUAAGGAAGGAGCUGGCUCUCCAUUACUGGAGGUGACCCAUGGUGAGGAGACCACCACUCAGCUGCUGGAGGAGCUGCUGCAGGGGCUCAUGGGGACCAGUGGCAACGACUCUCUUGGAGUUCCCCUGUUUGAUAGGGAGAGGAUGGAGCAUAUCUGGUGUGUCCAGAGAAAGCAUGUCAACUGAAUUCAAGACCUGCUCUAUACACCAAGACAGGGAAGCUGUCGGUGUGUGGUUACCCAUGUACAGAUGUGCCAGAGGCUCUACAUCUUUAGAGUCUUUUCAUUUACACCUAAACCACUUCAUACCAGGGACCAGUGCCAACAGCCUGAAUUUUCAGGUAUACCUGCUGGAAGAACUGCAUAGGUGGAACCAGGACCGUGGUAGUGCUUCCCUGUCUACUGGACCAUCUGCUUUACACAGCUACUCGGGUGACCUGCUUCACUGUGUAAACAAAAAUUACAAGAAGCUGUUCGGCAGGAAGGUGGUACCAGAGUUCUGUCCACCCUCACGUUACACUGGAGAGCUCAUAGGCAUAGUAUCUAUUCCGGCAGACUGGUCAGGCACUGCAGAACAUGCACCCUGAUUCGGAGGAGACUGCUCAGUUAAUUGAAGAGCAUGAUGUGGAGGAUGACGUGGAGGAAGAUGAGGGCUUCUCUGACAUCACAGAUGACCCCACAGUGCUGGACCUGGAGAUUCUUCAGGUUCCAGCCUCUAUAAUGAAGUACUGUAGUGUUGCAGAGAUGCCCUAGCCUACAAAUCUUGUUCUCCAGAUUUCUGGUUCCCGGCACAUCCUCCCUGGCUCCCUGCACAUCCACCCUGGCUCCUGGCACAUCUGCAAUGAGCUCUGGUGCAUCAAUUCUGCCCUCUAGUUCGUCCUCUGAGGCUGGAGUUGAUACAAGCUGAAGAUGAAGAUAUGGUGUCAGUGUGAUCAAUUUAGAAUAUGCUGUUGAUGACCAAAAUGUUCCUGGAUAUCAGCACGUGGACAGACUUGCUGAGUACUUGGUGGAGCUUCGGGAUCAGACCUCUCUCUGUCUCAGCAACCAGCAGGCGAGCACAGUAAUAGCACUGUGGGAGAGCCUGGAUGAAGGUGACAAGCAGCGGGGGGUUUAUGCAGCACGACAUCGGGACAGACUUUUA
This is an RNA transcript of Siniperca chuatsi (mandarin fish), 3736 nucleotides long. RefSeq lists it as uncharacterized. NCBI's taxonomy places the organism in Eukaryota, Metazoa, Chordata, Actinopteri, Centrarchiformes, Sinipercidae. The transcript has 17 exons. The record is from RefSeq and is a predicted model, not a curated record.